AAGAUAUUAGUAAAAAGUAUAUUACAUCAUCUUGUCAAGAUGAAACUGUGGGUUAAAAUCCUACAUAUCUUA
RNAcentral lists this transfer RNA (72 nucleotides) under unidentified. RNAcentral's name for it is "Prolabeops melanhypopterus tRNA-Asp". It matches the Rfam family "tRNA". Rfam says of the family: Transfer RNA (tRNA) molecules are approximately 80 nucleotides in length. The record is from RNAcentral.